GACGAACGCUGGCGGCGUGCUUAACACAUGCAAGUCGAACGGUAAGGCCCUUCGGGGUACACGAGUGGCGAACGGGUGAGUAACACGUGGUGAUCUGCCCUGCACUUCGGGAUAAGCCUGGGAAACUGGGUCUAAUACCGGAUAGGACCCUGGGAUGCAUGUCCUGGGGGGGAAAGCUUUUGCGGUGUGGGAUGGGCCCGCGGCCUAUCAGCUUGUGGGUGGGGUGAUGGCCUAGCAAGGCGACGACGGGUAGCCGGCCUGCGAGGGGGACCGGCCACACUGGGUCUGAGAUACGGCCCAGACUCCUACGGGAGGCAGCAGUGGGGAAUAUUGCACAAUGGGCGCAAGCCUGGUGCAGCGACGCCGCGUGAGGGAUGACGGCCUUCGGGUUGUAAACCUCUUUCAGCACCGACGAAGCGCAAGUGACGGUAGGUGCAGAAGAAGGACCGGCCAACUACGUGCCAGCAGCCGCGGUAA
RNAcentral lists this ribosomal RNA (477 nucleotides) under uncultured bacterium. RNAcentral describes it as "partial 16S ribosomal RNA". It matches the Rfam family "Bacterial small subunit ribosomal RNA", at positions 28 to 523 of the family's 1533-position model. The record is from RNAcentral.